CAGCCGUAAACGAUGCGCGUUAGGUGUAUCGACGACCACGAGUCGUCGAGGUGCCGAAGGGAAACCGUGAAACGUGCCGCCUGGGAAGUACGGUCGCAAGGCUGAAACUUAAAGGGAAUUGGCGGGGGGAGCACCACAACAGGUGGAGCCUGCGGUUUAAUUGGACUCAACGCCGGAAAUCUCACCGGAUAAGACAGCAGAAUGAUUGCCGGGCUGAAGACUCUGCAUGACUAGCUGAGAGGAGGUGCAUGGCGUCAGUGACU
Molecule: ribosomal RNA, 263 nt
Filed under: uncultured archaeon
Lineage: Archaea
Description: partial 16S ribosomal RNA
Rfam family: Archaeal small subunit ribosomal RNA
Source: RNAcentral